Molecule: ribosomal RNA, 506 nt
Filed under: uncultured Caldimonas sp.
Lineage: Bacteria; Pseudomonadati; Pseudomonadota; Betaproteobacteria; Burkholderiales; Sphaerotilaceae
Description: bacterial SSU rRNA
Rfam family: Bacterial small subunit ribosomal RNA
Source: RNAcentral
AGAGUUUGAUCAUGGCUCAGAUUGAACGCUGGCGGCAUGCUUUACACAUGCAAGUCGAACGGCAGCGCGGGCUUCGGCCUGGCGGCGAGUGGCGAACGGGUGAGUAAUACAUCGGAACGUGCCCAGUAGUGGGGGAUAGCCCGGCGAAAGCCGGAUUAAUACCGCAUACGACCUGAGGGUGAAAGCGGGGGACCGAAAGGCCUCGCGCUAUUGGAGCGGCCGAUGUCGGAUUAGCUAGUUGGUGGGGUAAAGGCCUACCAAGGCGACGAUCCGUAGCUGGUCUGAGAGGACGACCAGCCACACUGGGACUGAGACACGGCCCAGACUCCUACGGGAGGCAGCAGUGGGGAAUUUUGGACAAUGGGGGCAACCCUGAUCCAGCCAUGCCGCGUGCGGGAAGAAGGCCUUCGGGUUGUAAACCGCUUUUGUCAGGGAAGAAAUCCUCUGGGCUAAUACCCCGGGGGGCUGACGGUACCUGACGUACCUCACCGGCUCCCUACCUGCCA